GAUGUACGCUAGCGGCAGGCCUAACACAUGCAAGUCGAGGGAGAGGUUACAUUCGGAUAACCAAAACCGGCGCACGGGUGCGUAACGCGUAUACAAUGCGCCUUUCACAUAGGGAUAGCCCGAAGAAAUUUGGAUUAAUACUUAAUGGUAUAUAGGAGCGGCAUCGUUUUUAUAUUAAAGCUACGGUGGUGACUGAUGAGUAUGCGUUCUAUUAGCUAGUCGGAGAGGUAACGGCUCCCCAAGGCGACGAUAGAUAGGGGUUCUGAGAGGGAUGUCCCCCACACUGGUACUGAGAUACGGACCAGACUCCUACGGGAGGCAGCAGUGAGGAAUAUUGGACAAUGGUCGGAAGACUGAUCCAGCCAUGCCGCGUGCAGGAUGAAGGUCCUAUGGAUUGUAAACUGCUUUUGUAAGGGAAGAAUAAGGAGUACGUGUACUUUGAUGACGGUACCUUACGAAUAAGCAUCGGCUAACUCCGUGCCAGCAGCCGCGGUAAUACGGAGGAUGCGAGCGUUAUCCGGAAUCAUUGGGUUUAAAGGGUCCGUAGGCGGGCUGAUAAGUCAGAGGUGAAAGCGCUUAGCUCAACUAAGCAACUGCCUUUGAAACUGUCAGUCUUGAAUGAUUGUGAAGUAGUUGGAAUGUGUAGUGUAGCGGUGAAAUGCUUAGAUAUUACACAGAACACCGAUAGCGAAGGCAUAUUACUAACAAUUUAUUGACGCUGAUGGACGAAAGCGUGGGGAGCGAACAGG
RNAcentral lists this ribosomal RNA (749 nucleotides) under uncultured Capnocytophaga sp. RNAcentral's name for it is "bacterial SSU rRNA". It matches the Rfam family "Bacterial small subunit ribosomal RNA", at positions 28 to 776 of the family's 1533-position model. The record is from RNAcentral. Lineage: Bacteria; Pseudomonadati; Bacteroidota; Flavobacteriia; Flavobacteriales; Flavobacteriaceae.